Molecule: ribosomal RNA, 390 nt
Filed under: uncultured bacterium
Lineage: Bacteria
Description: bacterial SSU rRNA
Rfam family: Bacterial small subunit ribosomal RNA
Source: RNAcentral
AACCGGAUUAGAUACCCUGGUAGUCCACGCCGUAAACGAUGUCGACUUGGAGGUUGUGCCCUUGAGGCGUGGCUUCCGGAGCUAACGCGUUAAGUCGACCGCCUGGGGAGUACGGCCGCAAGGUUAAAACUCAAAUGAAUUGACGGGGGCCCGCACAAGCGGUGGAGCAUGUGGUUUAAUUCGAUGCAACGCGAAGAACCUACCUACUCUUGACAUCCAGAGAACUUAGCAGAGAUGCUUUGGUGCCUUCGGGAACUCUGAGACAGGUGCUGCAUGGCUGUCGUCAGCUCGUGUUGUGAAAUGUUGGGUUAAGUCCCGCAACGAGCGCAACCCUUAUCCUUUGUUGCCAGCGGUUAGGCCGGGAACUCAAAGGAGACUGCCAGUGAUAAA